RNAcentral lists this ribosomal RNA (702 nucleotides) under uncultured Paracoccaceae bacterium. RNAcentral's name for it is "bacterial SSU rRNA". It matches the Rfam family "Bacterial small subunit ribosomal RNA", at positions 28 to 776 of the family's 1533-position model. The record is from RNAcentral. Lineage: Bacteria; Pseudomonadati; Pseudomonadota; Alphaproteobacteria; Rhodobacterales; Paracoccaceae.
AUUGAACGCUGGCGGCAGGCCUAACACAUGCAAGUCGAGCGAGAUCUUCGGGUCUAGCGGCGAACGGGUGAGUAACGCGUGGGAGUAUGCCUCUUGGUACGGAAUAGCCUCGGGAAACUGGGAGUAAUACCGUAUGUGCCCUUUGGGGGAAAGAUUUAUCGCCAAGAGAUUAGCCCGCGUUGGAUUAGGUAGUUGGUGGGGUAAUGGCCUACCAAGCCGACGAUCCAUAGCUGGUUUGAGAGGAUGAUCAGCCACACUGGGACUGAGACACGGCCCAGACUCCUACGGGAGGCAGCAGUGGGGAAUCUUAGACAAUGGGGGCAACCCUGAUCUAGCCAUGCCGCGUGAGUGAUGAAGGCCUUAGGGUUGUAAAGCUCUUUCAGCUGGGAAGAUAAUGACGGUACCGCAAGAAUAAGCCCCGGCUAACUUCGUGCCAGCAGCCGCGGUAAUACGAAGGGGGCUAGCGUUGCUCGGAAUCACUGGGCGUAAAGGGUGCGUAGGCGGGUCUUUAAGUCAGGGGUGAAAUCCUGGAGCUCAACUCCAGAACUGCCUUUGAUACUGAAGAUCUUGAGUUCGGGAGAGGUGAGUGGAACUGCGAGUGUAGAGGUGAAAUUCGUAGAUAUUCGCAAGAACACCAGUGGCGAAGGCGGCUCACUGGCCCGAUACUGACGCUGAGGCACGAAAGCGUGGGGAGCAAACAGG